GAUUGUAAAUCUUUAAAAAGCAAAAUUGCUAGUCAGGUAUAUUAAUAUUUGUUUGUUUUUAUUAACAAUACAGGUU
This 76-nucleotide transfer RNA is filed under the name Duplicibothrium sp. MZUSP 8039. RNAcentral describes it as "tRNA-Ser". The record is from RNAcentral. Lineage: Eukaryota; Metazoa; Platyhelminthes; Cestoda; Tetraphyllidea; Serendipidae.